This 468-nucleotide ribosomal RNA is filed under the name uncultured bacterium. RNAcentral describes it as "partial 16S ribosomal RNA". It matches the Rfam family "Bacterial small subunit ribosomal RNA", at positions 28 to 507 of the family's 1533-position model. The record is from RNAcentral.
GACGAACGCUGGCGGCGUGCUUAACACAUGCAAGUCGAACGGAAAGGCCCUGCUUUUGUGGGGUGCUCGAGUGGCGAACGGGUGAGUAACACGUGAGUAACCUGCCCUUGUCUUUGGGGUAAAUUCAGGAAACUGGGGCUCAUACCGGGUAGGAGCUCCUGCAGCAUGGUGGGGGUUGGAAAGUUUUGGCGGUUGUGGAUGGACUCGCGGCUUAUCAGCUUGUUGGUGGGGUAGUGGCUUACCAAGGCUUUGACGGGUAGCCGGCCUGAGAGGGUGACCGGCCACAUUGGGACUGAGAUACGGCCCAGACUCCUACGGGAGGCAGCAGUGGGGAAUAUGGCACAAUGGGCGGAAGCCUGAUGCAGCAACGCCGCGUGCGGGAUGACGGCCUUCGGGUUGUAAACCGCUUUCGCCGGUGACGAAGCGUGAGUGACGGUAAUGGGUAAAGAAGCACCGGCUAACUACGUG